GGCGCGGUAAUAUGUAGGUGGCGAGCGUUGUCCGGAUUUACUGGGCGUAAAGGGUGCGUAGGCGGAUGUUUAAGUGGGAUGUGAAAUCCCCGGGCUUAACCUGGGGGCUGCAUUCCAAACUGGAUAUCUAGAGUGCAGGAGAGGAAAGCGGAAUUCCUAGUGUAGCGGUGAAAUGCGUAGAGAUUAGGAAGAACACCAGUGGCGAAGGCGGCUUUCUGGACUGUAACUGACGCUGAGGCACGAAAGCGUGGGUAGCAAACAGGAUUAGAUACCCUGGUAGUCCACGCCGUAAACGAUGGAUACUAGGUGUAGGGGGUAUCAACUCCCCCUGUGCCGCAGUUAACACAAUAAGUAUCCCGCCUGGGGAGUACGGUCGCAAGAUUAAAACUCAAAGGAAUUGACGGGGGCCCGCACAAGCAGCGGAGCAUGUGGUUUAAUUCGAAGCAACGCGAAGAACCUUACCUGGACUUGACAUCCCUUGCAUAGCCUAGAGAUAGGUGAAGCCCUUCGGGGCAAGGAGACAGGUGGUGCAUGGUUGUCGUCAGCUCGUGUCGUGAGAUGUUAGGUUAAGUCCUGCAACGAGCGCAACCCUUGUUAUUAGUUGCUACCAUUAAGUUGAGCACUCUAAUGAGACUGCCUGGGUAACCAGGAGGAAGGUGGGGAUGACGUCAAAUCAUCAUGCCCCUUAUGUCCAGGGCUACACACGUGCUACAAUGGUAGGUACAAUAAGACGCAAGACCGUGAGGUGGAGCAAAACUUAUAAAACCUAUCUCAGUUCGGAUUGUAGGCUGCAACUCGCCUACAUGAAGCUGGAGUUGCUAGUAAUCGCGAAUCAGAAUGUCGCGGUGAAUACGUUCCCGGGCCUUGUACACACCGCCCGUCACACCAUGAGAGCUGGUAACACCCGAAGUCCGUGAGGUAACCGUAAGGAGCCAGCGGCCGAAGGG
This 947-nucleotide ribosomal RNA is filed under the name Clostridium sporogenes. Its description in RNAcentral is "bacterial SSU rRNA". It matches the Rfam family "Bacterial small subunit ribosomal RNA", at positions 514 to 1463 of the family's 1533-position model. Lineage: Bacteria; Bacillati; Bacillota; Clostridia; Eubacteriales; Clostridiaceae. The record is from RNAcentral.